This 468-nucleotide ribosomal RNA is filed under the name uncultured bacterium. RNAcentral's name for it is "partial 16S ribosomal RNA". It matches the Rfam family "Bacterial small subunit ribosomal RNA", at positions 28 to 507 of the family's 1533-position model. The record is from RNAcentral.
GACGAACGCUGGCGGCGUGCUUAACACAUGCAAGUCGAACGGAAAGGCCCUGCUUUUGUGGGGUGCUCGAGUGGCGAACGGGUGAGUAACACGUGAGUAACCUGCCCUUGACUUUGGGAUAACUUCAGGAAACUGGGGCUAAUCCCGGAUAGGAGCUCCUGCUGCAUGGUGGGGGUUGGAAAGUUUCGGCGGUUGGGGAUGGACUCGCGGCUUAUCAGCUUGUUGGUGGGGUAGUGGCCUACCAAGGCUUUGACGGGUAGCCGGCCUGAGAGGGUGACCGGCCACAUUGGGACUGAGAGACGGCCCAGACUCCUACGGGAGGCAGCAGGGGGGAAUAUUGCACAAUGGGCGGAAGCCUGAUGCAGCAACGCCGCGUGCGGGAUGACGGCCUUCGGGUUGUAAACCGCUUUCGCCUGUGACGAAGCGUGAGUGACGGUAAUGGGUAAAGAAGCACCGGCUAACUACGUG